GGGGCUGUAGCUCAUUUGGGAGAGCGUCUGGAUGGCAUUCAGAAGGUAGUCGGUUCAAUCCCGUCCAGCUCCACCA
This 76-nucleotide transfer RNA is filed under the name Rickettsiales bacterium. Its description in RNAcentral is "tRNA-Ala". It matches the Rfam family "tRNA". Rfam says of the family: Transfer RNA (tRNA) molecules are approximately 80 nucleotides in length. The record is from RNAcentral. Lineage: Bacteria; Pseudomonadati; Pseudomonadota; Alphaproteobacteria; Rickettsiales.